AUUGAACGCUGGCGGCAUGCCUUACACAUGCAAGUCGAACGGCAGCACGGGAGCAAUCCUGGUGGCGAGUGGCGAACGGGUGAGUAAUGUAUCGGAACGUACCUUUCAGUGGGGGAUAACGUAGCGAAAGUUACGCUAAUACCGCAUAUUCUGUGAGCAGGAAAGCAGGGGAUCGCAAGACCUUGCGCUGAUUGAGCGGCCGAUAUCAGAUUAGCUAGUUGGUGAGGUAAAGGCUCACCAAGGCGACGAUCUGUAGCGGGUCUGAGAGGAUGAUCCGCCACACUGGAACUGAGACACGGUCCAGACUCCUACGGAGGCAGCAGUGGGGAAUUUUGGACAAUGGCGCAAGCCUGAUCCAGCCAUGCCGCGUGAGUGAAGAAGGCCUCGGUUGUAAGU
Molecule: ribosomal RNA, 396 nt
Filed under: uncultured bacterium
Lineage: Bacteria
Description: bacterial SSU rRNA
Rfam family: Bacterial small subunit ribosomal RNA
Source: RNAcentral